This 492-nucleotide ribosomal RNA is filed under the name uncultured bacterium. RNAcentral describes it as "partial 16S ribosomal RNA". It matches the Rfam family "Bacterial small subunit ribosomal RNA", at positions 29 to 507 of the family's 1533-position model. The record is from RNAcentral.
CGUGAACGCUGGCGGUAGGCCUAACACAUGCAAGUCGAACGGCAGCACAGUAAGAGCUUGCUCUUACGGGUGGCGAGUGGCGGACGGGUGAGGAAUACAUCGGAAUCUACUUUUUCGUGGGGGAUAACGUAGGGAAACUUACGCUAAUACCGCAUACGACCUACGGGUGAGAGCAGGGGAUCUUCGGACCUUGCGCGAUUGAAUGAGCCGAUGUCGGAUUAGCUAGAUGGCGGGGUAAAGGCCCACCAAGGCGACGAUCCGUAGCUGGUCUGGGAGGAUGAUCAGCCACACUGGAACUGAGACACGGUCCAGACUCCUACGGGAGGCAGCAGUGGGGAAUAUUGGACAAUGGGCGCAAGCCUGAUCCAGCCAUACCGCGUGGGUGAAGAAGGCCUUCGGGUUGUAAAGCCCUUUUGUUGGGAAAGAAAAGCAGCAGGUUAAUACCCCGCUGUUCUGACGGUACCCAAAGAAUAAGCACCGGCUAACUUCGUG